CCUACGGGAGGCAGCAGUGGGGAAUAUUGGGCAAUGGGCGCAAGCCUGACCCAGCAACGCCGCGUGAAGGAAGAAGGCUUUCGGGUUGUAAACUUCUUUUCUCAGGGACGAAUAAAGUGACGGUACCUGAGGAAUAAGCCACGGCUAACUACGUGCCAGCAGCCGCGGUAAUACGUAGGUGGCAAGCGUUAUCCGGAUUUAUUGGGUGUAAAGGGCGUGUAGGCGGGUGCGCAAGUCAGAUGUGAAAACUCAGGGCUCAACCCUGAGCCUGCAUUUGAAACUGUGUUUCUUGAGUACUGGAGAGGCAGUCGGAAUUCCGUGUGUAGCGGUGAAAUGCGUAGAUAUACGGAGGAACACCAGUGGCGAAGGCGGAUUGCUGGACAGUAACUGACGCUGAGGCGCGAAAGCGUGGGGAGCAAACAGGAUUAGAUACCCUUGUAGUC
This 443-nucleotide ribosomal RNA is filed under the name uncultured bacterium. Its description in RNAcentral is "partial 16S ribosomal RNA". It matches the Rfam family "Bacterial small subunit ribosomal RNA", at positions 338 to 795 of the family's 1533-position model. The record is from RNAcentral.